Malus domestica (apple) is the source of this 6122-nucleotide non-coding RNA. The record is from RefSeq and is a predicted model, not a curated record. Lineage: Eukaryota; Viridiplantae; Streptophyta; Magnoliopsida; Rosales; Rosaceae.
GAUUCGAUUGUUUCACAGAAAACAUUGAGGAUUCAAUUGGUUCACAGCCAUCUGCUUCCUCCACGGAUCUUCUUCACAGCACAGCAUCUGCCUUCGUCUCACUCUCACUACUCUUGUAUUUCACUGAUUUGGGGUCUUACGCAAUUACAAAUUUAAGUCCAUUCAUGUGUUGAUCUUGGUUUAUUUCUGUCACUCUCUAUCUGACUUGAAGAUAAAAACCCUAAUUUUAGAUUGUUCUCUGAAUCCAGAUUCAUUUCAUUCACGACAAUUCUUAACAAAUUUCCCCAAUAUUACAUUUUCCCUUAUUAUUUUCAUACGUUUUAAGGUUCUAAUCAGUCUUUUUCGACCUUUAUCACUCCCUAUACAAUUGUGAAUAAGUAAGUUCCAUGUCUGCAAAACUCUAAUUACUCUGAUCUAAUUAUUUCAGGAACCUAGAGGUUAUUAAAUUCGUUAGAGAGGUGAUUUUGGAUUGAAUCCCAAAGUUCCCUUCCUAUUUCUAGGGUUGAUGUUUUGUGCACAUUUUGGGUGGUGGGUGUUGUGAAUCAUCACAUUUUAUUGAAGGUAUUUGAUCUGGGUAAUUCUAAAUCUAUGAACUGUUUUCUGAGUUUCCAAAACAGUUAAGCAGUUUUGAGGAAGCCCUUUGAUUUAUGAACUUUGAAGGAGUUGUAUACAUGCCAUGUUUGGUAGUGCAAAAGUGGUCUUGAUUCGUCUGCAGCUUACUACAGUUGUGGAAGUUGUGGUUUUGGGAUAGUAUAGGUUGAGUUCAAACAUCCUUGAGAAAUAAGGGUUGGCACAGAUGGGUAGGCCAUUGAUUUUUGAGAUCUUGAACAAACCAGCAAUAAGUUGUUUCAUAGGAAUAUGCAGUGCAAUUUGGUUCUACAUACAGAAGAAAAACAUUGGCUAUUCACAUGUGGGCUUGAGUUAUGAAACUGAGGUUGCAGGGCACCAUUGGAGGAUUAUAACUUCAGCUUUCUCUCAUAUAGCAUGAAGGCCGUGUCGAAGCUGGUAAAAACGAUUCCUAAGUGCAUCAGGUUCUUGACUAUUUUCAGGGUAUGUGGCUGUGAGCCCACAUCAGAGGCCGAUUUGACAUUCCGUUGUUUGUGAGGUUGCCAUGAAGAAGCCUGACUCUGCCGUGAAGAGAGAUCGGAAGGCCGAAAAGAGGAGGAUUUACAACAAAUCCCAGAAAUCUGAAAUCAAAACCCGGAUGAAGAAGGUACUUCCUUUUUCGGCAAGUUCAUUUGAUUUUAGCUGAGGGUUUUGCUUCUUUUGGCUUGCAUUGUAUAUAAAAUAAGUUUAUUCUGACUGUUGUCUUAGGUAAGGGGCAUAAUAGUCUUGAGUAGAUUGCUGAAAAGUAACCUACUGCUAGCUUUCCUUUUUGUAAAUUAGUUUGUGAGGCUAUCAGUUAAAACUCAUUUCAAAAAAGAGAGAUUUUCUGCUUUACAUAUUUUCUUUGAAUAUGCAUGUUGGAUAUGGUGUGCAUUGUCCUACUGUAUAUUGGUGUAGGUCGUGAUGUCAUUCCACUAGUGUGGAGGCAAUGUCGGGGAUGAUGUACAUAUCCCACUUCCUCACUGGGUGACAGAAAUUGGCCAAAAGAAUCCUGAUAUAUAUUUUACUAAUAAAGAAGGGAAACGCAACACUGAAUGUCUCACGUGGGGAAUUGAUAAAGGGCGGGUUUUAAGAGGCCGCACUGCUGUUGAGAGUAAGAACAGUGGUUUAGCAACCUGGGAACCAGCAGGAGCAGCAGAAUGGUUAGAAGUAAGAAUUUUAAAGAAUUGAAGUCAUGUUGUUGAACUUAGUCUGAUGCGUAUGAAACUAAAGUUUUUGAAGGCGUUAUUAAUUAGUAUACCUACUGGAUAUUCUCUUUUCUUUUUUCUCAUGUUGAAUCCCACAGAAUUCUUCGCUGACAUUGUGGUUGAGCAUGAAUAUGUUGAAUGUACUUCAUCUGCAAUUCAGGCUAUAGUUUUGUUUAAGAAGUUGUGACCUGGCCCCAGGAAGAAAGAGAUUGAUCAAUUUAUUACCAAUGCUGCACAGUACCUGGAAAAUACACAAAUGGCAGAUGGUUCAUGGUACGGGAAUUGGGGAGUUUGCUACACAUAUGGUACCUGGUUUGCUCUUGGGGGGCUAACCGCUGCUGGCAAGACUUUCAGCAAUUGUGCAGCCAUGAGCAAAGCCAUUAGUUUUUUGCUCGCAAUCCAGAAAGAGAACGGUGGUUGGGGAGAGAGCUACCUUUCAUGUCCAAAAAGGAGUACGUUCCUCUUGAAAGAAACCGAUCAAAUUUAGUACACACAGCUUGGGCUAUUAUGGGUUUAAUUCAUGCAGGACAGGCAGAAAGAGACCCUACACGUCUUCAUCGUGCAGCAAAGUUGAUAAUCAAUUCACAGAUGGAAAAUGGUGAUUUUCCUCAGCAGGUAUCAGCAGGAAUUGGCAGGCCUACCUGGAAUAUUGGAUGUUACAUCACAUCUCAAUAUAUAAGUGGUUGGAGUCCAUGAACGAUCUUGCUGCUGAGCCAAUGGAGCCGGAUACACUUGCCGAUAUAGCUAAUGGACUUCGACAGAUCGAGAGCAGUUGCGAGGUUGAUAUGCGGCUUGAGGAACAUGUCAAUUAUCUGGUAGAUGAAGAGUAUCACACUCCAGCCUCACAAUUCGUGUUGAAUUUGACAAGUGCUGCUCAACUCUUUGCAAGAGCAGCUUCCGAGGAUGGGAGAAGAAUUCAAUUGGCUUAUGCUACAGAUAUGGUGGCCGCUUUGUUCCAUCUCUUUUAUUUCAUGGCUCGACAACUACAGCUUAUUCCAAACUGUGCAACAAUUAAUUGGGUUAAUUUUCAUUGUUCUCAUCAGUUUAAGGAGAUGGUUGGAGCAACUGAAAGUCUUUUGGACAGAUGCUUUGAACCCCUCAUAUUUUGGGACAUGGAUGAUUCUAUAUUUGAAGCGAUUGGGGAUUGUUAUAGGACAAGUCUGGAGAAUGCCAAUAAGUUUCUAGAUUGUUGCAUAGGUGAUCAAUGGUGCGCUAUUAUACAUCCAUUUGCUAUCCCUCCACUGCGUUCUGAACCUUUAAGACCUGCUAUAUCAAUAUUAUGUCAAGCAUCUACGGCCAUAACCUUUUCCAGGGGCUGCAAGCCAUCAUUCAGUCUUGGUCUUCUUGUUGAUGCUGAAAAAGAGUAUGAUCCGGCACCCUAUAACUACACCCUGUCCUGGCGCCCUAUAACUACACAACUGUGAAAGAAGCAUUUAUGACCCUUUCACUUCUAAGGGACCACUUGCACAAACAGGUUGAAGAGUCAAAAAGGUUGGCCGGUGUUAGUGGCUAUCAAAUGCUAGAGAAUUUUGAGGAAGAGGUUGAGGGAAAGCUGUUUGUGAAAUCGGAGUUUGAGUCUUUGGUCUGGGAAUUGGGGUUGGAGGAAAAAAUGGGCGCAUGCUUUGAUUAAUGUCUCAUCCUGUUUUUAUUCCUUCGACUAUUCUGAACAAUUCCUCAGUUUCAUUUUUCAAGGUCAGUAUGCUUUGCAUAGUCCUUUAUGAUCAUGUGUGCUUCGGUUUUCCUCAUAUAUUUUUUUAAUUAGUGCCUGUGGUGCAAAUGUGACAUCGAAAAUAUGGGCAAGUCAUGAUUUUUGAGAAAGACAUUUCAACUGGUGAGGUCAUAGAUCUGAUGAAGUAUCCUAUAGUACUGGAAAAACUAAGCUAGCCAACUCCCAACAUGACAAUUUGCAUUGGAAAUUGUGUCGACGACCUUCUUGGGCUUUUAAGUGCCGAGGUUGGUAUCGUAGUCAAUGUUUCUCCUGAUCUUGUUAAUGUGGGGAGACAAUAUGGGGUUACCCUUCGUCCAAUAUUUGAGAUGUUGGUGCAAAGGUAAUUGGGACGUGUACGUAGACAAGAAGUAGGGGGAACAUGAGGGGUUUUGUAUGCAGUGAGUUGUUGGAAUGAUGUUGUGUGUUUCAUUCGGUUGUUGUUGGGCAUAAAGUAAGAGGUAAUGCAAGCAUAAUCUAUAUGUUUAUAUUGAGGUUUGCUUCUAUUUUUGUGGUUUUUGUCCAACAUGGUUCACCUUGAUGGUUUAUCACAAGAAGUUGUCAUUUUGAUCUGCCUGUGUCUGUUUCUUUUUCUCUUGCAAAUUUUCUUAUUAUAUUUUUUUCGGGAUGUUGCUUACUGAUGCAAUAUGAUUCUUCUGAUAAAUCUUUGUAGAAUGAAAUGAAAAGAUUGGGACGGGAGGAUCCACGUAUGUGUAAGGAGGUAAGUAUGGCGAGAGCUUUCAUUUUGUGAGAUUAAAUAUUUGAACCAAUUUGCCGGUUGACUUGGUGACUAGGUUUAUAUUUAAGUUGGGUUUUGUUUCUUGUCCAGAUAUCAAGAAUUAGUUUUUCAUUUUGGUUGAUCCCCGUCAAUAUCUUUUUCUAUUUUUUUCAUUAUAAAUGGAUCAUCAUCUUCCUACACCCAGUAGAUUUGAUCGUAACUCAUUCGUGUUUUGAGGCAUCAAAAGUUCAUAUUGCAGUGGUGAGCUGAACUGUUCUGGUGCAUAUGUCUGUUUUGUCUUGUAAUAAUAAUGUCGAACAUGCUCUACGCUUUUGUAUGUAGUACUAUGUAGUGUUGGAAAUUAUAUGUUAUAAUUAAUAUUAUAAUAUUUAAUUUUUAUAUGAUGAAAAAUAAAAGUCAUGUCAUAGUUGAAUUCAAAUUCAUGAGUUACACAUACAAUAUAUUUUUAACUACAAUAGUAAUAAAAUAAUUUCACAUACAUUCCCUCUAGUUAAAAUAAUUUCAUGAGUUAAAAGUAUAUGGGCUGAGUGCCUGCACAAGCGCAGAGCAUGUUCGACAUUACAAGGAAAGAUUAUUACAAGACAAAACAGACAUGCACCAUAACAGUUUUAGCUUACCACUGCAAUAUGAACAUUUGAUGCCUCAAAACACGCAUAAGUUACGAUCAAAUCUACUGGGUGUAGGAAGAAGAUGAGCUAUUUAUAAUGAAAAAAAGAAAAAGAUAUUGAAGGGUAUAAACCAAAACGAAAAACAAAUUCUAGAUAUCUGGACAGGAAACAAAACCUAACUUAACUAUAAACCAAGUCAACCUGGCAGAUUGGUUGAAAUAUUCAAUCUCACAAAAUUAAAGUUGUCACCAUUCUUACCUCCUUACACAUACGUGGAUUCUCCCAUUCCAAUUUUUCAUAUCAUUAUACAAAAAUUUAUCAAAAGAAUCUUAUUGCAUCAGUAAGCAACAUCCCAGAAAAAUAUAAUACGAAAAUUUGCAAGGCAAGAGAAACAGACAAAGACAUAUCCAAAUCACAACUUCUUGCGGGAAAACAUCAAGGUGAACCAUGUUGGACAAAAACCACAAAAAUAGAAGCAAACCUCAAUAUAAACAUAUAGAUUAUGCUUGCAUUACCCCAACAACAACCGAAUGAAACACACAACAUCAUUUCAACAACUCGCUGCAUACAAAACCCCUCAUGUUCCCCCUACUUGUUGUCUACGUACAUGUCCCAAUUGCCUUUGCACCAACAUCUCAAAUAUUGGACGAAAGGUAGCCCCAUAUUGUCUCCCCACAUUAACAAGAUCAGGAGAAACAUCGACUACGAUACCAACCUCGGCACUUAAAAAACCAACAAGGUCGUCGACACAAUUUCCAAUGCAAAUUGUCAUGUUGGCUAGCUUAGUUAGUUUUUCUAGUACUAUAGGAUACUUCCAUCAGAUCUGUGACCUCACCAGUUGAAAUGUCUUUCUCAAAAAUCAUGACUUGCCCAUAUUUUCGAUGUCACAUUUGCACCACAGGCACUAAUUAAAAAACAAUGAGGAAAAACAAAGCACACAUAAUCACAAAGGACUAUGCAAAGCAUACUGACCUUGAAAAAUGAAACUCUGUAAUUAUUCAGAAUAAACGCAGGAUGAGACAUUAAUCAAAGCGCCCAUUUUUUCCUCCAAACCCAAUUCCCAGACUCAAACUCCGAUUUCACAAACAGCUUUCCCUCAACUUCUUCCUCAAAAUUCUCUAGCAUCUGAUAGCCACCAACACCGUCCAUCCUCCUGCUAAAUUCAAAGUAGAAGAUUGAUGAAGAAAACGGUCAAAAUCAAGUGCUGAACCAGCCAACCAGCAUUCUUUUUUAAAAUACAAUUGCUGAGCAGUGAGGAUUGUUUUGUCUCAAACCAA